RNAcentral lists this ribosomal RNA (36 nucleotides) under Ptychostomum pallens. RNAcentral describes it as "partial 26S ribosomal RNA". Lineage: Eukaryota; Viridiplantae; Streptophyta; Bryopsida; Bryales; Bryaceae. The record is from RNAcentral.
GACCACUAAUCGGAAAAGACUACCCGCUGAGUUUAA